RNA transcript from Pieris brassicae (large cabbage white), 1978 nucleotides. It is a transcript of the gene named cuticle protein 7-like, with no coding region annotated. The transcript has 2 exons. The record is from RefSeq and is a predicted model, not a curated record. NCBI's taxonomy places the organism in Eukaryota, Metazoa, Arthropoda, Insecta, Lepidoptera, Pieridae.
GACGGUGGACAGUAAAUGACCUCCCGCGUGUUUGUGCCGUGCGCGGGGACCCGUACCGGGGGAUGAAAGAGUCCUGGAGGUUGAGUGGCGUAGUGCGCCGGUUACAGUUGCGCGCUGCACACAACACACCUCUUUGGUCCGGAUUUCCCCUCACACGGGAGGCCGUGGAUUAGCUGCCCAUGGUCAACCGGCUGUGGUAUCUUGCUUGCUUGCUAAACAAGGGAUGUCCCCGACUUGAGGGCUCCGUGGCGGGUGGAGAGCUCCGACGGUGAAUUAUUUCCAGUUUACCUCAUGGAUAAAGAGACUAUAAACAAAAACAUAAAACAACAUAAGGCUGCGUCUACGCAUGCGCCAUUAACAAACAAACCCAGGGCUGCGUCUCAGGACAUGCUGCGGUGCAAGUCACCAGUGGCACGAUACACUGAUGCCCCUGUCUCUUACACGGAUGCGAUUAUUCAGGCAGCGUUUAAGACUCAAAACGAGAGGGAAACGACUAGCGAUGCGCCAAACCGGCGACCACCGACGCCGACAAGGUCUAAUACCGUGCUUAAGCCCGGUGGCUCUACGCUCAGCACUAGACCUAGUGUCAGUACCCAACCCAAAAAACUAACAACUAACCAGCAAACAAAGGGCCAGAAACGUGAACGGCCGGAGGACUCCGUAACACCAACCGGGGAAAGUAAAAGGGCUAAACUUAACAGACCUCGACCGGUGAGAGGAACCUUGGCCAGUUAUGUGGAAGUAGCAGCAUCAUAUAAAGCUAACGACCUUUGUGUUGCUGUUAUGACUGAGCCCUUCAUAGAUAUGACUCAAGAACAGGCGGAAAACAUCCGCCAACAGAUCCAGGGCAAGCUUCACAAUGAGCUCAUGGCGGAUCUUGACGCUUCCCUGACUGCAGAACCUAAUGACAUCAGGUUUCGGCAUAAUGCUCACUUUUCGGAUGGUGUUCUCAAAAUCUGGGGUGAGGAUUCUUUCACGUUGAGCUGGUUGACUAGAACAUGUGAUGUCAUUACCUCUCCUAUACCUGACACCAACUUGGUAGUUCGGCCUCAAUCGGCAAUUCCGAAAAAGGUUCCUUGCCUACUCCAUGUACCAGAAUUUACUGGUAACACGGAUACUUUAAGGAAGCUAAUAACGAGGCAUAACCGUCACCUUAACAUUAGAUCAUGGAUCCUGACGCACGAACGAAGAACACAGGACCGGACAGGAGUCUCACUCUUCUUUCGUGUGCCGGAGUCUGAGAUCUCAAAGAUCAAGGCCCAAGAUAUGCGCAUAUACUACCUGAUGGGGAAUAUCUAUAUCCGACUUCUCGAUAGAGAGAAGUCAUCAUAGGCCCCCUGUCACACCACCUCUAACCACCGCCAAUACAUCGGUGGCCAAUGCCUCCCACGUCUUUGACAAGGGAUGCUGUGGCCAGCCGAGUCGCUGAUACCCACGCCCCGAUUGAGGCGGUUCAACAACCACCUUCACAGGUGACAAAUAACUUCGGAUGAGGACUUCCUUCAGGAGACCGGGGGAAAAAAUUCAGUGACAGCUGUCUGCGCUCUUCCCCCUCUCUGGACUGACCUUAUCCAAGCCAACCUCCAGCACAGCGAAACAGCGUCGGCUUCCUUGCGCAGACUGCUGGAACACCCCAACAUUAUCGCCGCGAUCCAGGAGCCGUGGAUCGGGAAUGGUAUGGUAUAACAAUGGCGGUAAACUUCUACUGGACACCUCCGUAAGUAACCCAAGAAACUGCAUACUACAACCUAAACAUGUACGGACACUACUAAUAAACUAACUAUAUUCAAGGGACCUUACGGUUGUUAGGUUACCCAGGAACACGCAUCUACCUGGCUUCCGCCUACUUAACGGGCGACGAGGCCAUGUCCACUUCGGAACUCAGCCCUCUGGUUGACUUCUACGAGAUGGAUUAACCGACAGCACAUCAUACGCUAUGGGGCAAUGCCAAUACCAACUCUCGAGGUUAUCGCAUUCG